CCUACGGGUGGCAGCAGUGAGGAAUAUUGGUCAAUGGCCGGAAGGCUGAACCAGCCAUGCCGCGUGAAGGUCAGUGCCCUAUGGGCGUUAAACUUCUUUUGUGCGGGAGCAAUGCCGGGCACGUGUGCCCGGAGGGAGAGUACCCGCAGAAUAAGCAUCGGCUAACUCCGUGCCAGCAGCCGCGGUAAUACGGAGGAUGCGAGCGUUAUCCGGAUUUAUUGGGUUUAAAGGGUGCGUAGGCGGAUUUUUAAGUCAGCGGUAAAAUGUCCGGGCUCAACCCGGGCCGGCCGUUGAAACUGGGGAUCUUGAGUGGGCGAGAAGUAUGCGGAAUGCGUGGUGUAGCGGUGAAAUGCAUAGAUAUCACGCAGAACUCCGAUUGCGAAGGCAGCCUACUAAACUGCCACUGACAUUGAUGCUCGAAAGUGUGGGUAUCAAACAGGAUUAGAUACCCCAGUAGUC
RNAcentral lists this ribosomal RNA (459 nucleotides) under uncultured bacterium. RNAcentral describes it as "partial 16S ribosomal RNA". It matches the Rfam family "Bacterial small subunit ribosomal RNA", at positions 338 to 795 of the family's 1533-position model. The record is from RNAcentral.